This is a long non-coding RNA of Carassius auratus (goldfish), 3039 nucleotides long. RefSeq lists it as uncharacterized. The transcript is spliced from 3 exons. Lineage: Eukaryota; Metazoa; Chordata; Actinopteri; Cypriniformes; Cyprinidae. The record is from RefSeq and is a predicted model, not a curated record.
CAGAAAUUAAUGGCACUAGUGCUGGUGUUGUCAAACGUUAGUCUGGAGUCUAUACAGUGGUUCUCGAAUCAGAAAAGUCAUAAUAGUGUAAGAAGAAUGUGGUCCGUGGUAUAUUUUCACUGCAAAAAAAAAAAAUGCUGCACAUAUCACUGUAAAUUGAGAAAAGCCAAAAAAAUCAGUCAUUUUAGGCUGUAAAAAAAACAAAAAAAGAGCAGCGAAAUCUAGUAGGGACUGUAUUUGGGGGAGGUGGGGUAUGAUAUUGAUUAACUAUAUCAGAUUAUAUAAAUAAUAGAUUGGAUAUACAUUAGUGUUGGGCGAUAUGGGUCAUUUUUCAAAUCGUCAUAUCGUCAGCCCGUGAGAUCGACGAUACACAAUAUUAUUGUGCAUGGGUGGAGUAAGAGAGAGAUUAUUUGUUCUUGUCAUAGCAUAACUAUUUGGUGUUUUAAACCACACAGGUGUGCGAGAAAGAGCCCGUGGAAUCUCCAAUAAUCGAAAUACUUUCAAACAUACUGAUAAACUAAUGUUAAAUAUAAAAAUACUGUAUUUAAAACAGCUAGUUCAUAUACAGACGGACGCAGCUGUCAUAUUGCGCGUCCUGUGACAAAUCUGCACACGGAAGUUAUCAGUGUUCUGCAAAAUCAUUCAACGGUGAAAAUCAAUAGUAGAUUUAAUUUAAAGUCCAGCCGUUUAACACUAAUAUUGGGCAUAAACGAACACGUUAAAUAUAAAGUAUUCAAAACAGGUAAGUUGAUAUAUUUGGAGUAAAGUUAAAUUGAACUGAUGCAUCAGCGCUCCGGAGCGCGCGCCUCACGACGAGACGAAUGCACCGCCACAGAAACAAGAAUGAGAUGCGUUUUCUAACAUAACUGUGCCAUAAACUCAUUUAGUGAGGGCUCAUUUAAAAUAUUGCACAUAUAUAGGCCGUUCAGAUUACUUGUUAAAGUGCAAUGAAAUACCUUCUAUCUGCAGACGAUGUACAUCUGUUUGUGGAUGGAGACUUUGUAACGGCCAAAACUAUGCAUUUUGCAUACAUCACAUUAUAGUGCAGUGUGCCCUUUAAGAGACUUAUCACUUCACUUAUAAUGCACACUAUGUGGUGAUGACGUAGAAGGACUACGCGAGAACCACUGCCGCCUUGUUAUUAUUUUGUCUUUAUUUCCCAGCAAGCAAUAGCCGUCAUUUCAACGUCUGGGUUAAAUAUAGACCAGAUAUAGUCCGGCUAUGUGUAACCCACUUUUAGCCCAAAUAACAUUUAAUCUGGAUAAAUGUAUUUUUUUUGCAAAAUAACUUGUGAGAUGUAUGAUAUUCCAUCAUGUACGCAGAGUCUACAGUGAAUACAAGUUGUUUGGUUUACUUUAUUUUACAUGUUAUAUGUGUAGGCUGUGCGUAGCCACGAUUUAGCUCGUAUUCAGACCCGGCUAUUGUAGACCACUUUUUGUCAAAACUGAUUAAUUGUAUUUUUUUGCCAGGCAGUGCAUCAAAUGGUUAAUAUUCAAUCAUGUUCGCAUUGGUAUGAUAUCAAGGUUCAAUACGUCAUUUCACGGCAUGGUAGAUCACGAUUUAGCUCCGAAUUGGACGGGCUAUAAUGCGGUCUGCUUUAGCCCACCUGGCGAAAUUAUUGCAAUCUGGGCUCAGAUUUAGACCAGCGACCUAGAAUAUUAGUCUUUGAAAUGUUUUCGCUUACACAGCUUAAUAUAUAUUUUCUGUCAAACAUUCAUACACAAUCUACGAUAAAAAUAUCUAAUCAAAUGCAAUUGCAUUUCCCAACCGCUAGAUGGCACAAUUGAAACACUACUGAGACAUGUCUACUGGAACUAAUGCCAUUGCGUGACUAGAUCACUUAAGCCAAAUCUCGCGAUAAACAUUUCCGCCAUUUUAUUUUACACGAGGCAGCUGUCGGAGAGCAACGGGUGAGCAACAGUCUGAGUGAAAACCUUCACAUUUCUACUUCGAUCUUAAGAAAGCCAUACAGGUUUGGAACCAAGUGAAAACGCAGUGAUGACCAGCUUUCCAUCAGCUACGGAAUGUGAAAUAAAAAAUGCUAUUUCUAAUCAUUUCAAACAAGCACCAGGGAGGGCAGGGGGUCUAUGGAUCUAAAGUAAACAGUUAAUUCUUAAAAAUUAAUUGUUUUACAUAUUUUUCCAAUGUUUUAUUUGUUCAUUUUUAUGUUUGAAUGUUGUCCAAGUUGUUGUUGUCUAUAUAAUUGUUCAAAAUAAAUCCCUUUAUAUUCAAUUAGUUUGGAUGGAUUUUCAUUUAUGAGAACCUGAUAUAUUUGAGUGAAAGAAUCCUUAUGCCUCAUUUUGUUGUCUAUUACAUGUAUAUGUAGUGUAAUGGAUGACUAGUCUAUUCUUGGGCUAUGGUUAGACGUCUAUUAGAUUUUCACUGACAGCCCAAAAUCAGCCUUGUUUUAGCCUAGACCCAUAUUGCCUGUCUAUUAGACGUAUGUAGUCAUUUAGCGGUCUAAUUGAUGACUAGUCUAUUCUUGGGCUAUGGUUAGAUGUCUAUUGGACGUAUAAACAUAGUCGUUCAAUAGCUGUCUGAUUGUCUAUUCUUGGGGUAUGUUUAGACGUCUAUUAGACGUAUAUAUGUAGUCAUUUAAUAGCUGUCUAUUCUUGGGGUAUGUUUAGACGUCUAUUAGAUUUUCACUGACAGCCCAAAAUUAGCCUCGAUUUAGCCUAGACGUCUCGGCUGUGUUUAGACGGCUACUAGACGUCUAUUAGACGCAAAAUUGCUUGCUGGGAAGAGUUAAUCUCUCAUGUUUGAGAAGAGCGCGUUGCCGUGUACCAACCAUUAAAUGUGUGGGACACCAACUCCUCGUUUUAUAUCUCUUUCAUUUCAUGGAUUUAACGAGUUAUCCGAGUCAAAGCGUUACAACUUCAGCGACUACAGGCUCUAAUCCUCUUUUGCACGCACGCACGUGUGUGUGUGUGAAAUGCGGUGAUGAAGUGAAAUAACUGGGCAGUUUGACAGCAGAAUUAUAAUAGGCCGCCUAAUAACAAUAAUACGAGUUAUUAUUAUUAUCAUUUAAUACAUUAAUUG